CGUAGGGUGCAAGCGUUAAUCGGAAUUACUGGGCGUAAAGCGUGCGCAGGCGGUUUUGUAAGUCAGAUGUGAAAUCCCCGAGCUCAACUUGGGAACUGCGUUUGAAACUACAAGACUAGAAUAUGUCAGAGGGGGGUAGAAUUCCACGUGUAGCAGUGAAAUGCGUAGAGAUGUGGAGGAAUACCAAUGGCGAAGGCAGCCCCCUGGGAUAAUAUUGACGCUCAUGCACGAAAGCGUGGGGAGCAAACAGGAUUAGAUACCCUGGUAGUCCACGCCCUAAACGAUGUCUACUAGUUGUUGGUGGAGUAAAAUCCAUGAGUAACGCAGCUAACGCGUGAAGUAGACCGCCUGGGGAGUACGGUCGCAAGAUUA
Molecule: ribosomal RNA, 372 nt
Filed under: uncultured organism
Description: bacterial SSU rRNA
Rfam family: Bacterial small subunit ribosomal RNA
Source: RNAcentral